Molecule: long non-coding RNA, 736 nt
Filed under: Piliocolobus tephrosceles (Ugandan red Colobus)
Lineage: Eukaryota; Metazoa; Chordata; Mammalia; Primates; Cercopithecidae
Description: lncRNA (ENSPTEG00000035427.1)
Source: RNAcentral
AAAAAAAAAAAAAAAAAAAAACUGCGAGCAGGGUGGUGGGGGUUCUGCCUUCUACAGACCCACAUCCCGAGGUCUGUGUCUCAUCUGUCAUUGGGGGUAUUCUGAAGGAAAGGAAGAGAAGCCUGGUUUACAUCUAAUCUGGGGAUCAGGCUGUUGUGUGAGGUAGUUCAGUGGCUGAUCAGGGCCGGGCAGCCAGAGCCACACGGUGAUGAGCUUCACAGAGCCUGUGAGUGAGUGUGGACUGUACUCAGUAGGUAGAGGAGAGUCCCUGGCAGCUGCCCAGACAAGGUGACUAUGCUGCUUAAGCUGCACUGUGAUCCUCACUACACGGACUUGCUGUCUGGACAACAUAACUAAAGCACAGUACUGACCUAGUCAUUCCCCUGCUCAAGACUCUCAGGGGCUUCUUGUGGCUGCUGAAUGAAGUCCGAAUUAUAUGCAAACCUGGGCUGCAAUGUGGAGAAUGGAUUGCAAGCAACAAGACUGACGGUAUAAGUAUCUGAGGCUACUAUACCACUUGUUGAUGAAAUGAAUAGUUGAAGCAGCCAGUUCAGCCUGUGAUAUAAGGUUUUUUUUGCAGGGGUCUCUGUGCUUUGAGAUGUGUUCUAGGAGAGAGAAAGGAACCAUCAGAGAGAGUGGGUGCAGCCUUGAGUCAUGUUGAGAAGCUGGCGUCCUUCAGUUUUCUCGUCCUGGUAAGCGUUUUUCAGGUCUGCUGGGUUUUGGCACCUAUCAGCAA